UGAGAGUUUGAUCCUGGCUCAGAGCGAACGCUGGCGGCAGGCCUAACACAUGCAAGUCGAGCGCCGUAGCAAUACGGUGCGGCAGACGGGAGAGUAACACGUGGGAACGUGCCCUUCAGUUCGGAACAACCCAGGGAAACUUGGGCUAAUACCGGAUACGUCCGUAAGGAGAAAGAUUUAUCGCUGAAGGAUCGGCCCGCGUCUGAUUAGCUAGUUGGUGGGGUAACGGCCCACCAA
RNAcentral lists this ribosomal RNA (237 nucleotides) under unidentified proteobacterium. Its description in RNAcentral is "16S rRNA". It matches the Rfam family "Bacterial small subunit ribosomal RNA", at positions 1 to 271 of the family's 1533-position model. The record is from RNAcentral. Lineage: Bacteria; Pseudomonadati; Pseudomonadota.